AACGAAAGUAAUUCUANNNNNNNNNNNNCACGAUAGCUAAGAUCCAAACUGGGAUUAGAUACCCCACUAUGCUUAGCCCUAAACCUAAAUAAUUUAACAACAAAAUUAUUUGCCAGAGAACUACUAGCAACAGCUUAAAACUCAAAGGACUUGGCGGUACUUUACAUCCAUCUAGAGGAGCCUGUUCUAUAAUCGAUAAACCCCGCUAUACCUCACCAUCUCUUGCUAAUUCAGCCUAUAUACCGCCAUCUUCAGCAAACCCUAAAAAGGCAUUAAAGUAAGCACAAGAAUACACAUAAAAACGUUAGGUCAAGGUGUAGCCAAUGAGAUGGGAAGAAAUGGGCUACAUUUUCUUUUACAAGAACAAACGAAACCCUUUUUGAAAUUAAAGGAUAAAGGAGGAUUUAGUAGUAAAUUAAGAAUAGAGAGCUUAAUUGAAUAGAGCAAUGAAGU
This 453-nucleotide ribosomal RNA is filed under the name Otomys occidentalis. RNAcentral describes it as "partial 12S ribosomal RNA". It matches the Rfam family "Bacterial small subunit ribosomal RNA", at positions 714 to 1380 of the family's 1533-position model. Lineage: Eukaryota; Metazoa; Chordata; Mammalia; Rodentia; Muridae. The record is from RNAcentral.